AGCUAUGUAAUUAAUCAAGAUUUUCAAACUAAGCCUGGCCGAUAGAAACUCAAGGGUUUAAUAUAUAUUUAAUGAAAAUUAAGUUAAAUGUUUACUUUCCAACAUAAGUUGAUGUCUUUUUCAGUGUUAUCAAAUCUGAAUUGAAUUGUUGGGUUGAUCAGUGAAUUGAUGAUUUGUGUAUUAAAUUAGAUUGAAUUUGCAAUCAAACCGAAUAUGGAGUUGAUUCGCCAAAAAUCAAGUAACCUGGCCGGUUUGAAAAAUUAUUUUUGAAUGCUUGCGCAGAAAUUUGAAUCCAAAGCCUCGUGAGAAUUUUUUGAAGUUAACUGAUUAAACUAACUUGAUAAUUGUAUAUUUUAUUUAUUUCUAUAUAU
RNAcentral lists this unclassified non-coding RNA (371 nucleotides) under Hevea brasiliensis (rubber tree). Lineage: Eukaryota; Viridiplantae; Streptophyta; Magnoliopsida; Malpighiales; Euphorbiaceae. The record is from RNAcentral.